GGGCGCAUAGCUCAGUUGGUAGAGCAGAUGACUCUUAAUCAUCGGGUCCCAGGUUCGAACCCUGGUGCGCCCACCA
Molecule: transfer RNA, 76 nt
Filed under: Bradyrhizobium sp.
Lineage: Bacteria; Pseudomonadati; Pseudomonadota; Alphaproteobacteria; Hyphomicrobiales; Nitrobacteraceae
Description: tRNA-Lys
Rfam family: tRNA
About the family: Transfer RNA (tRNA) molecules are approximately 80 nucleotides in length. Their secondary structure includes four short double-helical elements and three loops (D, anti-codon, and T loops).
Source: RNAcentral